Molecule: long non-coding RNA, 1816 nt
Filed under: Marmota monax (woodchuck)
Lineage: Eukaryota; Metazoa; Chordata; Mammalia; Rodentia; Sciuridae
Source: RNAcentral
UCUAACCCAGAAUUAUCUCUUAAAUUCCAGGCUCUUCCAUCCAAAGGAUCCAAGAAGUCUGCCUUCAAAUGUCCCUUAGGAAUUUCAACAUCAACUUGCCCCAAAUGGAAACCAUUAACUCCUCACCCCAACUCCUUCCUCCAUAUUCUGACCUUUAAGUAAAAGAGGUACAACCGAUGGUCUGUAUGGACUAGAGCUGUAGCUACCCUCUGAAAUCUUCCCACCGAAAUAGCAAUAGUCCCACUCUCCUGAACUGUAGCACAUUGAAUACUCUCAAUACUAAGGAUACCUGUGUUCUUCCUAAAAAUCCAAUAAAAUUACGUUACAAUAAAAGGAUUAAAAAAAAAAAGUAUGAACGAUCAAGGACAAAUCCACCAUGGAGAGAGGACAACUACACAACCUCAGAAGACGGAAAGUAGAAACUAGUUUGACCAACUAAAGAAACCUUGAACCCAGGCUGGCAAUGGGAAAAACCCAGAACAUGUUGAUUAACAAGGAUGAACCCCAGAAGAGCUCAAGAAGGAAGGCGCCAGGCACCCCUUGAAGACACAGUCGAAUAAAUCACAUUUCAGACAAUGGGAGGUCUCAUUAGCACAGCCUUCUGGCUCAUGCUUUCUGUUGGAAAGCGUGGAGAGACUGUGCUCCACCAAAGCAAAAGAGGAAGCCAAAAACUGACGACCUGGGAUUUAAUGAAGGAGGGAAGCUCAGGGCUUGGGGCGUCCUGAGCUGUUGAUGAAGGAAUGAAUAUCCCAGCACUUGGAAGUCAAAGAAUUUGCUUGAAAUCACACGACUCAUCUAGUGAGUGUUGAAGCUAGGAAACCAAACCCAGGCAUGUUGGAUGCGAAGGCCACAACGGAACAUUUCUGUAAUUGUGGAAUUCUAGGCUGCAGGAUGCCUACUGCAGAUAGAAACAGCUCCAAGACACAAGCUUACAAUGAGAAUGAAAGGAGAUAGCGCCCAAUUCAGUGCCUAGCACACGGGAACCUAGCUAUUGCUGUCUUCUAGUUAAAAAUAUACACCGUAAUUGUUGCCUCUACCAAAUGUUCUGUAAAGGAUUAGUAUUUUAGCUGGACCUGGAAAGGUAAUAAUUUUGGUGGUCGGUAUCCUAGUCAGCUUGGGAGACUAUAACAAAAUCCCAUGGACUCAGUGACAUAAACAACAGAUAGCCACUUCUCAUAGUUCUGAAGUCUGGGAUAUGCAGGACCAACGUUUUGGCAUGUUCAGUUCCUGGUGGGGGUUUCUCUUCCCGCUAUCCAGAUGGCCACCUUCUCACUGUGUCCUCACAUGGCAGAAAAAGAGAGAGAGAGGAGAGAGAGAGAGAGAGAGAGAGAGAGAGAGAGAGAGAGAGAGAGAAAGAUACACAGACAGACUAACCCCAUCUUGGGAAUCCCAACCUCAUGACCUCAUCUAUGCCUAAUCGCCCACCUCCAAAUAUGGUAGCACCCCUCAUCCAUGAGGGAUAUAUUCUAAGACCUCCAAUUGGUACCUAAAUCCAAGGACAGUACUGAACUAUAUGCAUAUUCUGUUUUUCCAAUACAUAGAUAUCUAUAAUAAAAAUUUAAUUUAUAAAUUAGGCAGAGUAAGAGAUUAACAAUAACUAAUAAUAAAGUAAUACUAUAUUGUAAUGUAAAUUAUGUGUUUCUCCUCUCUUAAAAUAUGUUAUUGUACCGUGCUCACCCUUCUUCCUGUAAUGAUGCGAGAUCAUGCAGUGCCUAGGUGACGAGAUGAAGUGAGGUGAGGGGCGCAGGUGUUGUGACAUAGCAUCAGGCAAGGAGGAUCAUGGAGCCAUGAAGACGCAGGUAGUGAAACUGCACAG